Molecule: ribosomal RNA, 400 nt
Filed under: Elytrurus expansus
Lineage: Eukaryota; Metazoa; Arthropoda; Insecta; Coleoptera; Curculionidae
Description: partial 16S ribosomal RNA
Rfam family: Bacterial large subunit ribosomal RNA
Source: RNAcentral
GGCCUGCCCCCUGAGAUUUUAAAUGGCCGCGGUACUUUGACCGUGCAAAGGUAGCAUAAUAAUUAGUUUUUUAAUUGAAAGCUGGAAUGAAAGGUUGGAUGAGAAAAUGACUGUCUCUAUUUAGAUUAUUUAAAAUUUUAUUUUUAAGUAAAAAAGCUUAAAUAUAAAUAGAAGACGAGAAGACCCUAUAGAGUUUUAAUUUAGUUGGGGUGAUUGAAAAAUUUAAAAAACUUUUUUUUUAUAAAAUCAUUAAUUUAUGAGUAUUUGAUCCUUUUUUUAAAGAUUAAAAGUAAAAAUUACCUUAGGGAUAACAGCGUAAUUUUUUUAAAGAGUUCAAAUCGAAAAAAAAGAUUGCGACCUCGAUGUUGGAUUAAAAUUAAUUUUUGGUGUAGAAGCUAAG